This is a long non-coding RNA of Solea solea (common sole), 2665 nucleotides long. RefSeq lists it as uncharacterized. Lineage: Eukaryota; Metazoa; Chordata; Actinopteri; Pleuronectiformes; Soleidae. The transcript is spliced from 3 exons. The record is from RefSeq and is a predicted model, not a curated record.
CAGCGCACCCCGUUGACGCUCCUGUGGACGCAUGCAGCCUCGCGCCAUUCUAUUUUUACAGACCUAUAAUUCAGCAGCUCUGACAUUUGGCACAGGCGCGUAUUACCGCCGCGCGCUGUCUUUGACGCGCGUUGAAGGAAGGAAGGAAGGAAGGAGGGAGGGAAGGAAGGAGACGUCGCAACACGAAACAACAACGUGACCCGCAGGAGCCGUGGGGAAGGAAGCAUCUGCUUCUGCUGAGGCUGCGGCAACAUCAGCAUCACGCAGAGAGAGACACGCGCGCGUCACUGCCGCUGCAUGCGCGCUGCUUGUUCCCUGACUCCAGCUCUCGUUUCGUUUUUACGCAUCUGCCUCUUAUAAUCAACCCACCAACGCUUGGAAACUACUAUAUUUACAGUCUCCUCCAUGUGAGCUGGUCACACAGGUGCCUGGAGACCACUGCCGAGGUCUGUCUCCAUCCUCCUGCCGGUGUCUGUGAACCUCACCAGGAGGAGAGUGUAUAUAGGUGCCUUCUAUAUGGCACACUACUAAAGUAUGUGGCGUCGAGCUAAAGCUUCCUGCUGCAUUUUUAGCCUCCACCCUGAGACUCCAAGUUUUUUUUUUUUUACCCCCCCCCCCCCCUUUUUUUUUUUUUUUAGAUUUGCUGCAUGUGUCUCCUCUGUGCCUUCCUCCACCCCUUACUGCGCCCUCCCACCGUGCAGCCACCACCACCACUAUUCCUUCCAUCACCAUCUCUAUACUGAAGGCUGCCAAUAUUGACGCUUCAUGCAACCAAGGAGAGAGACGCGUCAUUCAAACAGAACAAUAGACACCGGCUCUUAAUGGUCAGAUGUUUGGGCUUCUGGACACGUCGUCCACUGUGCCCUCCGAGUGUGUGUGCGUCUGUGUGUGUGUGUAGAGGGAGAGAGAGAGAGAGAGCAGGGGAGCAGCGACGCAGCAGCUCCGCGCACACUGUCAUCAUCUCCUUCUUCUUCUGCUGCUGCUGCUGCUGCUGCUGCUGAGGAGGAGGAGAAGCCCCGGGAUGAAGGAGCGGAUGCCGGCAGCAUGUGUCGCCUCUUCGGCCUUGACUUUUUGUCCCUCUGCGGCCAAAGAAGCAAACAAAAGUAAAAGCCUGUGACACACUUCAGCGGUGCUGGAUCAGAUUUACUCUCAGUCAGACUGUGAAGUGAAGACUCUGCGUGCCGCGCUCUCUCUCUCUCUCUCUAUCUCUGUGUGUCUCCGUGGACUUUCGGCUCUGUGUGGUUGCGCGUGAGAGAUUUAGAAAAAAAAAAGUUGCGUAAAAUUACUUCGUGGACUUAAACCGGAGAUGUGGAAUUUACUCCAAGUUUGUGGCCUGAGUUGUGUGCAGUGCAGGCAAGAAGAGCAGUCGCACACAAAACACAUGCACACAUCCCAAGUGAAGGCGACCUUUGUGUGAAACCUGCAGGGCAACAGGUCAGCAGAGGCACACACCACCACCUCCUCAACCAAACCCACCCACUGUGCUGUGAACAGACUUCAUUGCUUCAAAGCUACAGCAGGAAGAAGAGGAGGACGAGGAGGAGGAGGAGGAGGCAGUGGAGGAGGUAAAAGAGAAGCAGAGUGGGUGGAAGGAUGGAAGGAGAGAAGGAUAGAAACAGUUCGAGGAGGUGGUUCGAAGCGGGUGAACCCAGAGCAGGUGAACACAGCUGUGGAUCGCCAUGGGCUCUCUCGCUGCCUUCCUCCUGUGGCCCCAGCACUGCAUUCAGGGGUCCCGGGGAGAUGGCAAGGGCCAGCCAAGGCUGCCGCAGAGUGGGCAUGCUAGGCCAUCCAAGCCAGGAGAGAAGCAGGUGGAGCGGGUGAACCAAGCUCUCAUCCCCGCCGGCUAGGAGCCUCCACGGCAGAGUGGAGCAGCGCGGAGCAGCAGAAAUCAAUACAGAGGAGAGAGGCGAGCAGAGGUUGCCCAGCACCGCCUGCAGGCCUCAGAGCCCAGGGACCAACCACCACCACUGCUCCCAGCUCCAUCUCUCCAUCUCUCUUUCUAUCUUCCUCCAACAAUCUCAGCACCAGCCAGGGCCGGGGCCCUAACCUUACAACCACCCCACACGCAGUGUGUGUGUGUGUGUGUGUGUGUGUGUUUGUGCGUGUUUGUGUGUCAGUGUGUGCCCAUGUGUGUGUGGAACACAGAGAGAAAAGGGAAGAGACAGAGAAAGAGAGUCUCUGUGUGUGGUUCAGCCGGAGGGUUUCUGCUGUGUCCAAAAACCACUUGAUAAAACUUUGUCAAGGAGACAUGGAGACAGCGAGGGAGGGAGGGAGAGAAAUGGAAGAAGAAUAAGCACAUCGACAGCACGUCAAAGGUCUCUUUUCUCCCAGCUCCCUCCCUCUUAUUACUCAUUCCACCUUAACCAUUAGAAUAAGGAUCCACCAGAGACAGCAACACAGGACAUUUCUGCGAUGUCCCACUUUCAAGCACGUAGUACUCAACAUUCAUAACAUCUCGUGAGCCGGGAUGAAAGGACAGUUUGAACUUUUUCCUCUUUCCUCUGUAUCAGACACAGCCUGUCUAUUCACCUUAGAUUUUCUUGCCUUCGCUACAGCAGCUCCCAUCAGAGGAUAUGGCAGUGCAGUAUUGAUCUUUAAGGUGGAAGAGAGGGAGGCGGGCCCAGGCUUUCAUACCCCUCUCUUGCUCUGUGUGUGUGUGUGUGUG